This 258-nucleotide ribosomal RNA is filed under the name uncultured bacterium. RNAcentral's name for it is "partial small subunit ribosomal RNA". It matches the Rfam family "Bacterial small subunit ribosomal RNA", at positions 26 to 285 of the family's 1533-position model. The record is from RNAcentral.
AGGACGAACGCUGGCGGCGUGCUUAACACAUGCAAGUCGAGCGAGGCCCUCUCUUCGGAGAGGUGCCCUAGCGGCGAACGGGUGAGUAACACGUGGGCAACCUGCCCCUAGCACUGGGAUAAGCCCGGGAAACCGGGUCUAAUACCGGAUAUGACCUUCAAGGGCAUCCUCGAAGGUGUAAAGGAUUCUGGCUAGGGAUGGGCCCGCGGCCUAUCAGCUUGUUGGUGGGGUAAUGGCCCACCAAGGCAACGACGGGUA